RNAcentral lists this ribosomal RNA (492 nucleotides) under uncultured bacterium. Its description in RNAcentral is "partial 16S ribosomal RNA". It matches the Rfam family "Bacterial small subunit ribosomal RNA", at positions 29 to 507 of the family's 1533-position model. The record is from RNAcentral.
AGUGAACGCUGGCGGUAGGCCUAACACAUGCAAGUCGAACGGCAGCACAGUAAGAGCUUGCUCUUACGGGUGGCGAGUGGCGGACGGGUGAGGCAUACAUCCGAAUUUCCUUUUACGUGGGGGAUAACGUAGGGAAACUUACGCUAAUACCGCAUACGACCUACGGGUGCAAGCAGGGAUUCUUCGGACCUUGCCCGAUUGAAUGAGCCGAUGUCGGAUUAGCUAGUUGGCGGGGUAAAGGCCCACCAAGGCGACGAUCCGUAGCUGGUCUGAGAGGAUGAUCAGCCACACUGGAACUGAAACACGGUACAGACUCCUACGGGAGGCAGCAGUGGGGAAUAUUGGACAAUGGGCGCAAGCCUGAUCCAGCCAUACCGCGUGGGUUAAGAAGGCCUUCGGGUUGGAGAGCCCUUUUGUUGGGAAAGAAAAGCAGCAGGGUAAAACCCCGCUGUUCUGACGGUACCCAAAGAAUAAGCACCGGCUAACUUCGUG